UCCUGUAACACGAAACCUCUUUUCUGAACGAGCGGGGUCCCGUCUGAUCUCGGAAGCUAAGCAGGGUCGGGCCUGGUUAGUACUUGGAUGGGAGACCACCUACGAAGACCAGACGCUGUAGGCG
Molecule: ribosomal RNA, 124 nt
Filed under: Pteropus vampyrus (large flying fox)
Lineage: Eukaryota; Metazoa; Chordata; Mammalia; Chiroptera; Pteropodidae
Source: RNAcentral